This 394-nucleotide long non-coding RNA is filed under the name Pelobates cultripes (western spadefoot toad). Lineage: Eukaryota; Metazoa; Chordata; Amphibia; Anura; Pelobatidae. The record is from RNAcentral.
CACAGACCUUGAAGAUGACACUCCACAUACACCCCUACAAUCACAUCAGUUCAAACAGACGACUGCUUUCCUGUAGGGACAGUGUAGGGAAAGCGUCUGUCUUAACAGGUGAGUCUCACGUGUGGAGAUGUGGUGGACUAGCCACUGCGGGUUACCCGCGGAGUGAAGUGUUCGAUGCUUGUUAAGACAGAUAGGUUGCAGGCAACUAGGGACAUAUUAGGGACAGUAGCAGUUGUUAUGGUAAAUAGCCAUUUUAGGGGGGACUGUUGUGGAAAUAAGGUCUGCACAUAUUUCCUAGUUAGUGAAAAUGUCUAUUUACUCAUUUCACGAUAUAUCACAUAUAAAGCUGAGCACACAUGUUUUAAUCAAAAUGGCUGCUAGAAGCUUCUAAACC